CUGAGCCCUGGAGACUGAAUUCCUCUGUUUAUUCACAGAAUGUAUACCAUAUUGGCAGUGGCAGGGCAAGCUUCCCCAUACUGCCCUGCCAACAUGCCUCACUUCUGGCCCACUGGGAUCAUCAAUGCAGUUAAUUUCCAUAUCCGUUUAGUACUUGGCCUCU
RNAcentral lists this small RNA (163 nucleotides) under Chrysemys picta bellii (western painted turtle). Its description in RNAcentral is "TUC338 (ENSCPBG00000026243.1)". The record is from RNAcentral. Lineage: Eukaryota; Metazoa; Chordata; Testudines; Emydidae.